UACCAUGAUGAGGGCAUUUCCAUAAUAAUUCUUUAAACCGUUCCCAUGCCUCAUACAAGGACUAAUUAUCAAAUUCCUGAAACA
Molecule: non-coding RNA, 84 nt
Organism: Gossypium hirsutum (cotton)
Lineage: Eukaryota; Viridiplantae; Streptophyta; Magnoliopsida; Malvales; Malvaceae
Source: Rfam